Mercurialis annua (annual mercury) is the source of this 487-nucleotide long non-coding RNA. RefSeq lists it as uncharacterized. Lineage: Eukaryota; Viridiplantae; Streptophyta; Magnoliopsida; Malpighiales; Euphorbiaceae. The transcript is spliced from 3 exons. The record is from RefSeq and is a predicted model, not a curated record.
UUCUCAGCUCAAGAUAAUGGGUCAUCUUCUUCCUUAGAAACCUAAGGCAUGGAAAUUUUCAAUCCUCCAUAACUUCUUCAUUUUUAAUCGGUUUUGCGUGAUUCUCGCGGCUACGGAAAGAGGAGGAGGAGAGCUUUCAAUCUAUUCCAUAAAAUCAAGAAUUGACGAGGCGACUACCAAUGGAACCCGGAACUUACAAAACGCGACAUCGCUAAACUAUUAUCGAAGGUUAUGGAUAGCAAGCGUGUGUUUUUCAGGUAUCUAGAUUCUGAAUUUGGCUAGAAGUCCGUCUUUGACCGGAAGUCCAUUUGGCGAUGUAGAGCCCCGACUUCCAUUGUUGCUGCAGUAGUGUAAUGUCUGACCAGUGUCGUAGCCUAGUACAUUAAUACGUUUUUCAUUGUUUAUAGUUGUUGUCAGUGUGUUUAUGUUUGUUUUGGCUACGAUUGUCAUAUUUAAUCCACGGAGGUAAAUUCCCGUGAGGUGUAUG